RNAcentral lists this transfer RNA (72 nucleotides) under Marmota marmota marmota (Alpine marmot). It matches the Rfam family "tRNA". Rfam says of the family: Transfer RNA (tRNA) molecules are approximately 80 nucleotides in length. The record is from Rfam by way of RNAcentral. RNAcentral also lists the same sequence under 1 other name. Lineage: Eukaryota; Metazoa; Chordata; Mammalia; Rodentia; Sciuridae.
UGGGGUGUGGCUCAGUGGUAGAGCCCUUGCCUAGCAUGUGUGAGGCCCUGGGUUUGAUCCUCAGCACUGCAU